UCUAAGUUAUAAACAAAUCUAUACUGUGAAACUGCGAAUGGCUCAUUAUAUCAGUUAUAGUUUAUUUGAUGGUUCUUGCUACUUGGAUAACCGUAGUAAUUCUAGAGCUAAUACAUGCAUCAAACCUCGACUUUUUUGGAAGAGGUGUAUUUAUUAGAUGGAAACCAAUGCGGGGCAACCCGGAUUCAGGUGAUUCAUAAUAACUUUCGGAUCGAUCUUCGGAUCGAUGCAUCAUUCAAGUUUCUGCCCUAUCAGCUUUGGAUGGUAGGGUAUUGGCCUACCAUGGCUUUAACGGGUAACGGAGAAUUAGGGUUCGAUUCCGGAGAGGGAGCCUGAGAAACGGCUACCACAUCCAAGGAAGGCAGCAGGCGCGCAAAUUACCCACUCCUAGCUCGGGGAGGUAGUGACGAAAAAUAACAAUACGGGACUCUUACGAGGCCCCGUAAUUGGAAUGAGUACACUUUAAAUCCUUUAACGAGGAUCUAUUGGAGGGCAAGUCUGGUGCCAGCAGCCGCGGUAAUUCCAGCUCCAAUAGCGUAUAUUAAAGUUGUUGCAGUUAAAAAGCUCGUAGUUGGAUCUCGGGAGCGGUCCGGCGGUCCUCCUCACGGAGGUUUCACUGCCGCGUCGCCGCUCUCACCUCACCGGCUCUCCCCGGGU
Molecule: ribosomal RNA, 657 nt
Filed under: uncultured eukaryote
Lineage: Eukaryota
Description: bacterial SSU rRNA
Rfam family: Eukaryotic small subunit ribosomal RNA
Source: RNAcentral